RNAcentral lists this ribosomal RNA (376 nucleotides) under uncultured bacterium. RNAcentral describes it as "bacterial SSU rRNA". It matches the Rfam family "Bacterial small subunit ribosomal RNA", at positions 521 to 896 of the family's 1533-position model. The record is from RNAcentral.
UAAUACGAAGGGGGCAAGCGUUGUUCGGAAUUAUUGGGCGUAAAGCGCGCGUAGGCGGGUUCGUAAGUCGAUUGUGAAAACCCUGGGCUCAACCCGGGACGUGCAGUCGAUACUGCGAAUCUUGAGUGCCUGAGAGGAUGGCGGAAUUCCCGGUGUAGUAGUGAAAUACGUAGAUAUCGGGAAGAACACCUGAGGCGAAGGCGGCUAUCUGGCGGUGCACUGACGCUGAUGCGCGAAAGCGUGGGGAGCAAACAGGAUUAGAUACCCUGGUAGUCCACGCCGUAAACUAUGGAUACUAGGUGUCCGGAUGUUAACCUUCUGGGUACCGUAGCUCACGCAUUAAGUAUCCCGCCUGGGGAGUACGGUCGCAAGACUA